Molecule: ribosomal RNA, 462 nt
Filed under: uncultured Pseudomonas sp.
Lineage: Bacteria; Pseudomonadati; Pseudomonadota; Gammaproteobacteria; Pseudomonadales; Pseudomonadaceae
Description: bacterial SSU rRNA
Rfam family: Bacterial small subunit ribosomal RNA
Source: RNAcentral
ACAAGCGGUGGAGUAUGUGGUUAAUUCGAUGCAACGCGAAGAACCUUACCUGGUCUUGACAUCCCGGAGACCCUUAGGAAACUAGGGGGUGCUUCCAUCUGGAAGAAUCUGGAGACAGGUGCUGCAUGGCUGUCGUCAGCUCGUGUCGCGAGAUGUUGGGUUAAGUCCCGCAACGAGCGCAACCUUGUCCUUAGUUACCAGCACGUUAUGGUGGGCACUCUAAGGAGACUGCCGGUGACAAACCGGAGGAAGGUGGGGAUGACGUCAAGUCAUCAUGGCCCUUACGGCCUGGGCUACACACGUGCUACAAUGGUCGGUACAAAGGGUUGCCAAGCCGCGAGGUGGAGCUAAUCCCAUAAAACCGAUCGUAGUCCGGAUCGCAGUCUGCAACUCGACUGCGUGAAGUCGGAAUCGCUAGUAAUCGUGAAUCAGAAUGUCACGGUGAAUACGUUCCCGGGCCUU